CUAAAGGAGUCAAGUGAGAACAGGGCCACAGGAGGGCACGGGCUGCAGACAAGUUUCCCUUCUAUGCCACCUGGCUCCCAACUUCAGCUGUGCCCGCCCAGUCUUUAACCUCAGCGCCUGCAGAUGGACCAGCCUACAGUGGUUGCUGCAAGUGAUUCUGCUCACCCUGCCCCAUCUCGCUCCGGUCCCAGCACGUCCAUGUCAUGAGGAAUCAGGAUUGCAGCUGAUAGACCCAAAGUGUGGUAUAGGUUACAGGAUCCUGCUUCCUAAGGAUGUGGGAAAUAGAAGCGCUGUACCUGAAAUAUCAAGCAUAUCUUGGCACCAAGAUGUCCUCUACCUUCUCUGCCCCGUCUUCUCCUCUCCCCUCUUGAGGAGAAUGUCGGGCCUCUAAGAAGUGACACCUAUAACCAUUGUAUAGGAUCCUGGAGAGCCCCUGUCCUAAGAGACCUUGACCUUUGGGCUCUCAAAGGUGACAAAUGCUGUCACACACCUCCUGGCCACCAAGGUAGCUCUCCUCUUGAAAGCUCAAAGGAGCCACAUUAAAGAGCCCCAGGUCACGGAAGCUAAACCAGAUCUGGAACUCACUGGUCCCCUCCCCGCAGCCUGCCUCUUGUCAAGUGAUCAGACUGUCAACUAGCUUCUCAGAAUUAGGUUUCAGGUCAGCUGGUGCACACGGCCAGUGCCGAGCCAGAGACAGCAGAGACAACAGUGAAUGGUGAGGACGGGCCGUCAGAUCCUGCUGCUACCUAAUGGAGUGGAGCCUUAGGGUGCCCCUGCACUACCCAACCUUGGCUAGACGCACAGGUAAGACCCCGUACUCUGCUCUCCUCUCCCUUCCAUGGAUGCUCACAGCCAGGAGCUUGCUGGGAUCACUCACCACUGCGUGAGAGACCAAGAGUGAGCCGGUCUAGCUCCCACCUAGUAAAGAUGAAGGAACUGCAGGCCUGGGGAGGGCCUUGACUUCCACAUCUAUGUGACUCCUCACAACUCCCUUGUUCUGCUGACUCCUCUGCUGGGAUCUUACAAAUGCCAGAUGAAAAGUGUCCCUCUCCUUUGGCCCAGGAUCCCCACGGAGCACAAAACCCUCUCCAGCAAGGAUCCUGGGGCCCUUCCUGGGUAGAGAUGAUGAGGGCACCUCUGGCCUGAAGCCUGGUCUAGAGCCCGUGGUCACUCUGUCUAGUGGCAUCCUUGAUGCGGAUGUAUUGUUGGAG
RNAcentral lists this long non-coding RNA (1211 nucleotides) under Mus spicilegus (steppe mouse). RNAcentral's name for it is "lncRNA (ENSMSIG00000027959.1)". Lineage: Eukaryota; Metazoa; Chordata; Mammalia; Rodentia; Muridae. The record is from RNAcentral.